This 497-nucleotide ribosomal RNA is filed under the name uncultured bacterium. Its description in RNAcentral is "partial 16S ribosomal RNA". It matches the Rfam family "Bacterial small subunit ribosomal RNA", at positions 28 to 507 of the family's 1533-position model. The record is from RNAcentral.
GAUGAACGCUGGCGGCGUGCCUAAUACAUGCAAGUCGAGCGAACAGACGAGGAGCUUGCUCCUCUGACGUUAGCGGCGGACGGGUGAGUAACACGUGGAUAACCUACCUAUAAGACUGGGAUAACUUCGGGAAACCGGAGCUAAUACCGGAUAAUAUAUUGAACCGCAUGGUUCAAUAGUGAAAGACGGUUUUGCUGUCACUUAUAGAUGGAUCCGCGCCGCAUUAGCUAGUUGGUAAGGUAACGGCUUACCAAGGCAACGAUGCGUAGCCGACCUGAGAGGGUGAUAGGCCACACUGGAACUGAGACACGGUCCAGACUCCUACGGGAGGCAGCAGUAGGGAAUCUUCCGCAGUGGGCGAAAGCCUGACGGAGCAACGCCGCGUGAGUGAUGAAGGUCUUCGGAUCGUAAAACUCUGUUAUUAGGGAAGAACAAAUGUGUAAGUAACUAUGGACGUCUUGACGGUACCUAAUCAGAAAGCCACGGCUAACUACGUG